UAUACAUGGGAGGGAGGGAGGGAGACAGAGGUGUUGUGAGCAGAUCUGUUCGACACUCAGUGUAUUCUUCCUGGGAGAACUGGGGGUUAUGCAAAUCUGUCCUUUUGGCUCAGUGUACAUCUCUCCUUUGGUCUGCCAGGCUUGAACAAACUCACGACAGAAGUCUGUCAAGAUCUCUAAGUAACUUCAUGAAGUUGGUUCAAAUUCUGCGAUGGGAAGCGUAAACUUUGCUUGUAUUGAAGACUCGAGCAGAACAGCUUGGGCUACUGCACAAAGACCCAGAAAGAGAGGAGCUGACAAACAAGGCUGACGCUACCCAGGUUAGGCCACUGACCCAGCUGAAGGGAAGGUGAACCUGGACAGCAGGUGAAAAACAAACUGGAAAUUAUUUCAAUUCUAGCAGAAUCAGGGAUCAUUAACUGUAGAAGGUUCUGAAGCGCUCUGUCCUGUUUAAAGGCACCAACUCCACAUCACGGCAUUGUGGACUGCUGUAGGGAAGUCCUUCCUGGGGGCUUUGAAGUCAAAGUUGCUUGCUAUAACUGCAGCAGCUCUAAUGGGCUGCUCAAAGGACAAGGGGCUUUUGUAGUAGAAAUCAUUUCCAAUCACUCAACCAAACAAAAACACAGCUUUCCUGCGCGUACAAGGAACCUCCGACAUCACGACCAAGCCACCUACCUACAUACAAAGAACUGAACAAGUGCUCUUAAACACCAGCUGGUUGUCUAGUUUUUAAAUACUCUCUUUCAAGUUAGGCAGAUUCAAGAGAUUUAGACUUGGAACAUUACAAUAUCACAGGUCCAAAGAGGGGGCCAAAAAAAGUGACACAGUUACAGAAGGCAAAGAACAUAAGAGCAAAUUUAAAUUUGGUUUCUCUGGUCCUAGCUAUAAAAAAAAAAAAAAAAUAGCAACUAGCAAACAGAAUUUUAAUAAGACAAUUGUCAAUGCUGGGAACAGAGCCUGACAAAAAUGCUGAGCUUUUUUAAGCAUUCAUUGCCCAUCACGAGUCUGUCUAGCAAAAUCAGCCACACUCAACAACUAGAUACGGGGAGGGUGGAAGGAACAA
Long non-coding RNA from Alligator sinensis (Chinese alligator), 1063 nucleotides. RefSeq lists it as uncharacterized. Lineage: Eukaryota; Metazoa; Chordata; Crocodylia; Alligatoridae. The transcript is spliced from 3 exons. The record is from RefSeq and is a predicted model, not a curated record.